Molecule: long non-coding RNA, 2048 nt
Filed under: Sus scrofa (pig)
Lineage: Eukaryota; Metazoa; Chordata; Mammalia; Artiodactyla; Suidae
Description: lncRNA (ENSSSCG00045033684.1)
Rfam family: Metastasis associated lung adenocarcinoma transcript 1 (bases 205-300)
Source: RNAcentral
AGAAAAGAUUAUAUUUCAUACCUAUCUUCAUUGGGCAAAAGCAUAACUCUGAAAUCCUUACUACUGAUGAACUCAUGGUCUGCAUAUGCAAAAAAAAAAUUUAAGCAAAUGAAAGCUACCAAUUUAAAGUUAAUGGAAUCUACUCUUAAAGUUAUGGCAUAUCAAGCUGUAUCCACAAAAAUAAUGAAUCGAUGAGAAAUAAAAUAAUGAAAUGAUGAGAAAUACCAUGAAGAUCUAAUGCCCACCUCAAAAUACUGCUUUUACAAAAGCAGAAUAAAAAAUGAAAUGAAAUGAAAAUGAUAAAGCUACACAUUAACCCUGGAAUAAAAGAAGCUGAAAUAAUUGAAAGGAGUGGGAUCAAGUGGAUUGAGAGGAAGCUGUGCUGUUUGCCAAUCUUUCGUUUGCCUCAGACAGGUUUCUCUAUCAGAAGAGUUGCUUCAUAUCAUCUGGGAGCAGAAAACAGCAGGCAGCUGUUCACAGAUAAGUUUAACUUGCAUCUGCAGUAUUGCAUGUUAGGGAUAAGUGCUAUGUUUAAUAAGAGCUGUGGAGGUCCUAGGUCCCUUACUCAAGGGAUCUCAGGAUUUUGAGGAAUUUUCCCAUCCAGCCUUUUAAAAUGAGACAGGCCUUAUGCCUGUGGGCUUCCAUGAUGGGCUAACUCACUUCACUCGAGGCAAGUAAUUCCUUAAAGCCUCUUGAGAUUAAUACCUUAAUAAUCAAGGAUAAUGUUGAUAAAAUAAAAAUUUGUUUAGCAUUGAUUCUUGAAAACCCUAUGAAAAGAUAGCAUAAUGUGCUGUUAACCAGAAUCAGAUAUGUUAACCUUGCUAAAAUUUAAAUGUUAUGUGUAUUGUGCAGAAAACCGUAAAAUCACUCAAAAUAAAAUACUUUAUUUAGCGAAUGUAUGCUUUUAGAAAGCUGUCUCCUUAUUUAAAUAAAAUAUUGUUUGUCUGUAGUUAGUGUUGGGCAAUCUUGGGGGGAUUCUUCUCAUCUUUCAGAGACUUUGUCUGCGAACACUCUGUAAUGGACAAGAUCAGGAAUUGAGCUGAAGAACGAAUUUAACUUAAGGCAGGAAAGACAAAUUUUAUCCUUCGUAAAAUUGAUGACCAUUUAAUAAUUCCAGGCACAUGGCCAUAGAGACCCUCUAAAUAAAUAAGGAAUAAAUACUUAUUAGGCAGGUGGGAGAUUAUGAUCAGAAGAACAGGUAACUACACCUACGCAUUUUUCAGAAAGUCAGGAGUCGAAAUUGACAGUACUGAAGUAUAAUGCGGUCCACAUUUCCAAAGUUUGCAUGUUAAAUUGAAAUGCUUACCAUCUCAUCUAGUGUUAGCCAAUGCUUUACACUUAUUAGCCUUUUAUAUAGACACUUGGUGGGGGGCAUGUGGGUUUUUUAAAGAACUUUCCUUUGCAGAGGCUUCGUUUCAUCCUUCAUGAGGCUGUUCAGGAUUUUGACUUGCAUAUAAACGCUUGGCUCUGCCUUCUGUUCUCCUAGUGGGUGUGUGAGACCUUGCAACUACACAGAAUGCAGUUGUCUUGACCUCAGGUCUGUCUGUUCUGUUGGCAAGUAAUAAUGCAGUACUGUUCUGACCUGCUGCUAUUAGAAUGCAUUGUGAAACGACUGGAGUAUGAUUAAAAGUUAUGUUUCCCCCAAUGCUUGGAGUAGUGAUUGUUGAAGGAAAAUCCACUGAGUGAUAAAAGGCUGAGUGUUGAGGAAAUUUCUGCAGCUUUAAGCAUUCAUGUUUGUGAUUGAAGCAGUCCUUUUUGCUGUGCUUUAGGUAAAAUGCUUUUUGUUCACUUCUGGUAGGGGGGGUGGGGAGGGCACUGAAGCCUUUAGUCUUUUCCAGAUGCAACUUUAAAAUCAGUGACAAGAAAUAAGUUCCAAACGAACAACAGACUUCAAGAAGUUUAACUGGCAAGUGGAAACGUUUUAACAUCAGUUCAGUGGUCUUAGUGCAUUGUGUGUGCAGGUUUCUCUCUUCCCUCCCUUGGUCUCAAUUCUUAUACACAGGAACAUUCAGAACAACAGAUGAAGGGCCAGAGAAGCCAGACCCAGU